GGGGCAGUAGCUCAGAUGGGAGAGCGCUUCCCUCGCACGGAAGAGGCCGGCGGUUCGAGUCCGCUCUGCUCCACUA
This 76-nucleotide transfer RNA is filed under the name Bacteroidota bacterium. RNAcentral describes it as "Bacteroidetes bacterium (marine metagenome) tRNA-Ala". It matches the Rfam family "tRNA". From Rfam's summary of the family: Transfer RNA (tRNA) molecules are approximately 80 nucleotides in length. Their secondary structure includes four short double-helical elements and three loops (D, anti-codon, and T loops). Further hydrogen bonds mediate the characteristic L-shaped molecular structure. tRNAs have two regions of fundamental functional importance: the anti-codon, which is responsible for specific mRNA codon recognition, and the 3' end, to which the tRNAs corresponding amino acid is attached (by aminoacyl-tRNA synthetases). tRNAs cope with the degeneracy of the genetic code in two manners: having more than one tRNA (with a specific anti-codon) for a particular amino acid; and 'wobble' base-pairing, i.e. permitting non-standard base-pairing at the 3rd anti-codon position. The record is from RNAcentral. Lineage: Bacteria; Pseudomonadati; Bacteroidota.